RNAcentral lists this transfer RNA (72 nucleotides) under Minous monodactylus (grey stingfish). Its description in RNAcentral is "tRNA-Val". It matches the Rfam family "tRNA". From Rfam's summary of the family: Transfer RNA (tRNA) molecules are approximately 80 nucleotides in length. Their secondary structure includes four short double-helical elements and three loops (D, anti-codon, and T loops). Further hydrogen bonds mediate the characteristic L-shaped molecular structure. tRNAs have two regions of fundamental functional importance: the anti-codon, which is responsible for specific mRNA codon recognition, and the 3' end, to which the tRNAs corresponding amino acid is attached (by aminoacyl-tRNA synthetases). tRNAs cope with the degeneracy of the genetic code in two manners: having more than one tRNA (with a specific anti-codon) for a particular amino acid; and 'wobble' base-pairing, i.e. permitting non-standard base-pairing at the 3rd anti-codon position. Lineage: Eukaryota; Metazoa; Chordata; Actinopteri; Perciformes; Synanceiidae. The record is from RNAcentral.
CAGAGUAUAGCUAAAUUAGGAAAGCGUCUCCCUUACACUGAGAAGUUACUUGUGCAAAUCAAGUUAUUCUGA